This 253-nucleotide ribosomal RNA is filed under the name uncultured bacterium. RNAcentral describes it as "partial 16S ribosomal RNA". It matches the Rfam family "Bacterial small subunit ribosomal RNA", at positions 524 to 776 of the family's 1533-position model. The record is from RNAcentral.
UACGGAGGGUGCAAGCGUUAUCCGGAUUCACUGGGCGUAAAGGGUGCGUAGGCGGGCAGGGAAGUCCGUGGUGAAAUCUCUGAGCUUAACUCAGAAACUGCCAUGGAUACUAUUUGUCUUGAAUAUUGUGGAGGUAAGCGGAAUAUGUCAUGUAGCGGUGAAAUGCUUAGAUAUGACAUAGAACACCAAUUGCGAAGGCAGCUUACUACACAGUUAUUGACGCUGAGGCACGAAAGCGUGGGGAUCAAACAGG